RNAcentral lists this long non-coding RNA (1392 nucleotides) under Piliocolobus tephrosceles (Ugandan red Colobus). RNAcentral describes it as "lncRNA (ENSPTEG00000024975.1)". Lineage: Eukaryota; Metazoa; Chordata; Mammalia; Primates; Cercopithecidae. The record is from RNAcentral.
CCAGUAUUCAUUCAUCCAUCCACAGAAAUUGACCGAGCACCAGCUCUGGGGCAGACACAGGCAUAAGUCCCAGCAAUACAAUACCAGAUGGGACCUUACCCUUCUGGAGUUUCCAUGCAGGCUAGGCAGAACAUCAGGGCAUCAGCAGUCCCUCAGUUUACCAGGUCUGUCCUCUGCUGCCAGGAAGACACCUGCUUCCUGCCAGGUUGCCUCCAUAGGGGACUCAGUCCAGCCAGGCGGAAUGGCCUUGCGGGUUGUGUUCUCAGCAAGGAGGAGCUGGGAGGAGGUGCAGGAGCCGCCAAGGUCUCAGGCAAGGUCAGGGGCUGACGGCAGGAAAGUUGGGGGAGCAGCAUCAGAAGAUAACGGCCCAAGGCUCUGGGCUCGCUGCAGGCGCUCUCUCGCCUUCUCCGCCUCUUCCCGGGGCCCAGUGCUGCCCCCUGCCUGCUUCAUAGGAGCCCCAGGAAGCUCCGAUCUUCCUUCUCUAGGCUCAAAACCCCUGCCAUGGAGAAGGGAGGAAUGCAAGUUUUAUCUAUGGAACUGGAGGUUACUUGUUGAAGUCCCCUGACGUGGGGGGAAAAAGCAACGCAGCCCUAAUCCUGAAGUUGAGGGCAUCUGUGAGGCCCUGGUCCAGAGGGCAGGCAAUGGCGGCCCCACCGCCCAGAGGCCAGUCCGUCCUGUCUCUCCCAGAGCUGAUAAGAGGAUAACGCGUUUCUCAGAGCCGGGGCUGGUGGGUAUGCUUUGAGAGGGAGGAGGAGGGGCAGCAGGCAAAGACAGGGAUUGAGGCCUGCUCUCCCCAGUGCUGAGGAUGGAAAGCUGUUUCUCCAGGCCUCCAGAACACAGUCUCACGGGAUGCCCGCUCCACACCGCCACGGCGGGCGAGGCCGCCUCUCAGGCGGUCCAGAAGCAGUUAGCUGUGUGCGUGUGCGCAAGCCUCGAGCCUCCUCUGCUUCCCGCCUUUUCUCAGGCAUGCGUCGUUCCCUCUACCUCCGCUCUUGGGCCGGCCCGCGGCGUGAAGCUAGUGCGCAGGCGCCGAGCGUCCUCGCCGCCACCACCACCCACCACCCCCAUUCUCGGGAGCAUGGACUGCGGGGCGGAGACAGAGGGAGAAAGAUCCCCCAGGAAAAGCGCAAUAGGAGAACUAGGAGACAGGAGAGGGAAGGCGGGGCUCCCUCUUCCAACGGCUGUCAGGCACAGCCACGCCUCCAGCGCUGGCGCCCCGCCUCGUCUCUGAGUUGGCAGAGGACCUGGCCCGCCCCCACCCCAGGCAGAGGCCCAGAGGCGCCCCACUUUCACCCCUUCAAAAGGUGGGCCGGGCCGCGUUCUAGGGGAUCCCUCCUUGGGAAGGGCCUCGCGGCUGGAAUUGGCCCCCGCGCAAGGACCGCGGGGAAUUGA